This 664-nucleotide ribosomal RNA is filed under the name uncultured bacterium. RNAcentral's name for it is "bacterial SSU rRNA". It matches the Rfam family "Bacterial small subunit ribosomal RNA", at positions 56 to 715 of the family's 1533-position model. The record is from RNAcentral.
UGCAAGUCGAGCGGCAGCGCGGGGGCAACCUUGGCGGCGAGCGGCGAACGGGUGAGUAAUGUAUCGGAACGUACCCAGUCGUGGGGGAUAACUAUCCGAAAGGAUAGCUAAUACCGCAUACGUCCUGAGGGAGAAAGCGGGGGACCGAAAGGCCUCGCGCGAUUGGAGCGGCCGAUAUCGGAUUAGCUAGUUGGUGAGGUAAAGGCUCACCAAGGCGACGAUCCGUAGCUGGUCUGAGAGGACGACCAGCCACACUGGAACUGAGACACGGUCCAGACUCCUACGGGAGGCAGCAGUGGGGAAUUUUGGACAAUGGGGGCAACCCUGAUCCAGCCAUUCCGCGUGAGUGAAGAAGGCCUUCGGGUUGUAAAGCUCUUUCGGCAGGAACGAAACGGUGUCCCCUAAUACGGGGCGCUAAUGACGGUACCUGAAGAAGAAGCACCGGCUAACUACGUGCCAGCAGCCGCGGUAAUACGUAGGGUGCGAGCGUUAAUCGGAAUUACUGGGCGUAAAGCGUGCGCAGGCGGUUAUGUAAGACAGGUGUGAAAUCCCCGGGCUUAACCUGGGAACUGCGCUUGUGACUGCAUAACUCGAGUGUGGCAGAGGGGGGUGGAAUUCCACGUGUAGCAGUGAAAUGCGUAGAGAUGUGGAGGAACACCGAUGG